GACAGAGGAUGCAAACGUUGCUCGGAAUUACUGGGCGUAAAGCGCGCGCAGGCGGUUUCGUAAGUCGGGUGUGAAAGCCCCGGGCUUAACCCGGGAAGUGCAUUCGAUACUGCGGGACUAGAGUACUGGAGAGGAGAGCGGAAUUCCCGGUGUAGAGGUGAAAUUCGUAGAUAUCGGGAGGAACACCAGUGGCGAAGGCGGCUCUCUGGACAGAUACUUACGAUGAGGCGCGAAAGCGUGGGAAGCAAACAGG
RNAcentral lists this ribosomal RNA (253 nucleotides) under uncultured bacterium. RNAcentral's name for it is "partial 16S ribosomal RNA". It matches the Rfam family "Bacterial small subunit ribosomal RNA", at positions 524 to 776 of the family's 1533-position model. The record is from RNAcentral.